RNAcentral lists this ribosomal RNA (301 nucleotides) under uncultured bacterium. Its description in RNAcentral is "partial 16S ribosomal RNA". It matches the Rfam family "Bacterial small subunit ribosomal RNA", at positions 509 to 807 of the family's 1533-position model. The record is from RNAcentral.
CAGUAGCCGCGGGAAUACGAAGGGGGCUAGCGUUGCUCGGAAUGACUGGGCGUAAAGGGCGCGUAGGCGGUUUUGACAGUCAGAUGUGAAAUUCCUGGGCUUAACCUGAGGGCUGCAUUUGAGACGUCAAGACUAGAGUGUGAGAGAGGGUUGUGGAAUUCCCAGUGUAGAGGUGAAAUUCGUAGAUAUUCGGAGGAACACCAGUGGCGAAGGCGGCUCACUGGUCCAUUACUGACGCUGAGGUGCGAAAGCGUGGGGAGCAAACAGGAUUAGAUACCCCAGUAGUCCCUGUCUCUUAUAC